CAAACUGAGGGUGCUCGGGUCCCAGUUCCCUGCUUGGCAUCAUGCUCGUGCAGACGUUGUGCAACAGCAAUAUCAACUCCCUUAGAUUGCAUCCACUGGCUAAGAGGGUCAGCUGAUGCACCCCGCCAAUGCAUGUCAUCCAAACUUGGACAAAACUGAUAUGGCGAAGGUGGAAGUAUAACUUUUGCCUUAGCAGUAUGCCA
This is a non-coding RNA of Pelobates cultripes (western spadefoot toad), 203 nucleotides long. The record is from the annotation of a GenBank genome assembly. NCBI's taxonomy places the organism in Eukaryota, Metazoa, Chordata, Amphibia, Anura, Pelobatidae.